GAUGAACGCUGGCGGCGUGCCUAAUACAUGCAAGUCGAGCGAACGGACGAGAAGCUUGCUUCUCUGAUGUUAGCGGCGGACGGGUGAGUAACACGUGGAUAACCUACCUAUAAGACUGGGAUAACUUCGGGAAACCGGAGCUAAUACCGGAUGAUAUUUUGAACCGCAUGGUUCAAUAGUGAAAGACGGUCUUGCUGUCACUUAUAGAUGGAUCCGCGCUGCAUUAGCUAGUUGGUAAGGUAACGGCUUAACAAGGCAACGAUGCAUAGCCGACCUGAGAGGGUGAUCGGCCACACUGGAACUGAGACACGGUCCAGACUCCUACGGGAGGCAGCAGUAGGGAAUCUUCCGCAAUGGGCGAAAGCCUGACGGAGCAACGCCGCGUGAGUGAUGAAGGUCUUCGGAUCGUAAAACCCUGUUAUUAGGGAAGAACAUAUGUGUAAGUAACUGUGCACAUCUUGACGGUACCUAAUCAGAAAGCCACGGCUAACUACGUG
RNAcentral lists this ribosomal RNA (497 nucleotides) under uncultured bacterium. RNAcentral's name for it is "partial 16S ribosomal RNA". It matches the Rfam family "Bacterial small subunit ribosomal RNA", at positions 28 to 507 of the family's 1533-position model. The record is from RNAcentral.